This is a non-coding RNA of Pelobates cultripes (western spadefoot toad), 274 nucleotides long. Lineage: Eukaryota; Metazoa; Chordata; Amphibia; Anura; Pelobatidae. The record is from the annotation of a GenBank genome assembly.
CCUAAAUGAGGAGAACAGUAGGUAAUAAAGUUACAAAUGGGAAAAUAAAGUAAAUGUGAUUCAAAGGAGAUGAGCUAAACAUUAGUCAAGAGUACACAACAGAGAGACUAAGGUGGUAUAUGAGAUGGGAGAAGGAACAAAACUAAGACAAACAGAAAUUAAAGAAGGGAGAAGAUUGUCACAAAUAGCACAUGUGACUACUAGACAGAAAAAGUAUAAACUUAUAAAAGACACUGAUAAUCACAAGUGGAACAGACAAAUUAAUGUCUUAAAC